Molecule: long non-coding RNA, 166 nt
Filed under: Meriones unguiculatus (Mongolian gerbil)
Lineage: Eukaryota; Metazoa; Chordata; Mammalia; Rodentia; Muridae
Description: lncRNA (ENSMUGG00000014144.1)
Source: RNAcentral
AAAUCACAUGGUGGCUACAUGUCACCGACCAGCAGUGACACCUGAAUAUCACCUGAGAGAAGGCUGGCGAGAGAGAGACAGAGCGACACGGAGAAGGACACCAAGUCUUCUACAUGCUGAUCAAAGUGUCGAUUUAAUGGACGUCAGGUUAACACUUAAAUCAUAG